AGCUGAUCAACCUGGGAUGAGAAGUAGAAUUUAGAUGAAAACCCCAAAUUCCUAAAAGGUCUUUCAAUUCUACAGCUACAGGUUUUUUAUGAAUGAAGUAAGGAGCUGCACACAAAACAUCUUCAGUGAUAGUAAGGAAGAGGAGAUUGGGGAAUACUGUCUGCAGGCAAAGAGAAGGAACAAGAGACAUGCUCCAAAGGAGAAUCUUGUAAUUUUUGAAGAAAUAAAAUUUCAGCAUCAUCAUUAAAAUUUCAUCACUAUUUGGAGUUUAAGUUCUUGUGUUCAGGCAAUUCCUGAUCCCAUUUUGGUUUUUCCU
Long non-coding RNA from Dryobates pubescens (Downy woodpecker), 316 nucleotides. RefSeq lists it as uncharacterized. The transcript is spliced from 3 exons. The record is from RefSeq and is a predicted model, not a curated record. Lineage: Eukaryota; Metazoa; Chordata; Aves; Piciformes; Picidae.